Molecule: ribosomal RNA, 268 nt
Filed under: uncultured bacterium
Lineage: Bacteria
Description: partial 16S ribosomal RNA
Rfam family: Bacterial small subunit ribosomal RNA
Source: RNAcentral
UACGGUAGGCAGCGAGCGUUGUUCGGAAUGACUGGGCGUAAAGCGCGCGUAGGCGGAUCGGAUAGUUGGGGGUGAAAGCCCGGGGCUCAACCCUGGAACGGCCUCCAAGACUGCCGGUCUUGAGUUCGAGAGAGGUGGGUGGAAUUCCGAGUGUAGAGGUGAAAUUCGUAGAUAUUCGGAGGAACACCAGUGGCGAAGGCGGCCCACUGGCGUCGACACUGACGCUGAGGUGCGAAAGCGGAUGGGGAGCAAACAGGGGAAUUAAGAU